RNAcentral lists this unclassified non-coding RNA (27 nucleotides) under Mus musculus (house mouse). RNAcentral describes it as "oocyte_clustered_small_RNA13838". Lineage: Eukaryota; Metazoa; Chordata; Mammalia; Rodentia; Muridae. The record is from RNAcentral.
UUGCAGGGACUUGUAAGGACAGAUUUA